UCCCUUCUGGCUUAGCUGGUAAAGAAUUUGCCUGCAAUGCAGGAGAACUGGGUUCAUUCCCUGGGUUGGGAA
Bos taurus (domestic cattle) is the source of this 72-nucleotide non-coding RNA. NCBI's taxonomy places the organism in Eukaryota, Metazoa, Chordata, Mammalia, Artiodactyla, Bovidae. The record is from Rfam.